This 265-nucleotide ribosomal RNA is filed under the name uncultured archaeon. RNAcentral describes it as "partial 16S ribosomal RNA". It matches the Rfam family "Archaeal small subunit ribosomal RNA", at positions 719 to 982 of the family's 1478-position model. The record is from RNAcentral.
ACACGACUACAUUAGAUACCCGUGUAGUCCUAGCCGUAAACGAUACUCGCUAGGUGUCGGCCACGGUGCGACCGUUGUCGGUGCCGUAGGGAAGCCGUGAAGCGAGCCACCUGGGAAGUACGGCCGCAAGGCUGAAACUUAAAGGAAUUGGCGGGGGAGCACAACAACGGGUGGAGCUUGCGGUUUAAUUGGAUUCAACGCCGGAAAUCUUACCGGGACCGACAGCAACAUGAAGGCCAGGCUGAAGACUUUGCCGGAUUAGCUG